This 459-nucleotide ribosomal RNA is filed under the name uncultured bacterium. RNAcentral describes it as "partial 16S ribosomal RNA". It matches the Rfam family "Bacterial small subunit ribosomal RNA", at positions 338 to 795 of the family's 1533-position model. The record is from RNAcentral.
CCUACGGGAGGCAGCAGUGAGGAAUAUUGGUCAAUGGCCGGAAGGCUGAACCAGCCAUGCCGCGUGAAGGUCAGUGCCCUAUGGGCGUUAAACUUCUUUUGUGCGGGAGCAAUAUUGGUCACGUGUGGACAGUCGAGAGUACCGUACGAAUAAGCAUCAGCUAACUCCGUGCCAGAGGCCGCGGUAAUACGGGGGGUGCAAGCGUUAUCCGGACUUAUUGGGUGUAAAGGGUGCGUAGGUGGGUAUUUAAGUCAGUGGUGAAAGUUUGUGGCUCAACCAUAAAAUUGCCGUUGAAACUGGGAGACUUGAGUGUGUUUGAGGUAGGCGGAAUGCGUGGUGUAGCGGUGAAAUGCAUAGAUAUCACGCAGAACUCCGAUUGCGAAGGCAGCUUACUAAGCCAUAACUGACACUGAAGCACGAAAGCGUGGGGAGCAAACAGGAUUAGAUACCCGAGUAGUC